CAGAGUAGGACGGCGCGCGUUGAGUGCAUGCGGGACGGGGAGUUGCCCGCGUGACGAAAUGCCGAACCAGGCUGCGGUGCGCCGUCCGCAUCCCGCUGC
Molecule: non-coding RNA, 99 nt
Filed under: bovine gut metagenome
Description: THF riboswitch
Rfam family: THF (Tetrahydrofolate) riboswitch aptamer
About the family: THF riboswitch presents a pseudoknot that joins P1-P2 and the loop of P3 and two THF binding.
Source: RNAcentral